RNAcentral lists this unclassified non-coding RNA (314 nucleotides) under Hevea brasiliensis (rubber tree). Lineage: Eukaryota; Viridiplantae; Streptophyta; Magnoliopsida; Malpighiales; Euphorbiaceae. The record is from RNAcentral.
AAAUUGCCUUUUACUGGAAAGGCUUUUCGUUUAGCCUUUGGACGAUCAAGCCUUUUCUUCUGCUCCUAUGAUCAGGCAGAAAAAAGGAGAGAAUCAUUGGCAUUGCAGUUGAAUGAAAAGUUGCUUGGUAGAGCAAAUGUAAUUCCUAAAUAUGUCAUAGAUUGUGUCAUGGAAAGAAUAGAUGAGAUGAGCAAAGGAGUUGUUGAUUGUAAAAUGGUUUCUCAGCAUAUGGCUUUUACCAUUUUGGGGACAACACUCUUUGGAGAUGCAUUCUUGGCAUGGUCCAAGGCAAAUUUCUAUGAGGAGCUUCUAAU